This 497-nucleotide ribosomal RNA is filed under the name uncultured bacterium. RNAcentral's name for it is "partial 16S ribosomal RNA". It matches the Rfam family "Bacterial small subunit ribosomal RNA", at positions 28 to 507 of the family's 1533-position model. The record is from RNAcentral.
GAUGAACGCUGGCGGCGUGCCUAAUACAUGCAAGUCGAGCGAACGGACGAGAAGCUUGCUUCUCUGAUGUUAGCGGCGGACGGGUGAGUAACACGUGGAUAACCUACCUAUAAGACUGGGAUAACUUCGGGAAACCGGAGCUAAUACCGGAUAAUAUUUUGAACCGCAUGGUUCAAAAGUGAAAGACGGUCUUGCUGUCACUUAUAGAUGGAUCCGCGCUGCAUUAGCUAGUUGGUAAGGUAACGGCUUACCAAGGCAACGAUGCAUAGCCGACCUGAGAGGGUGAUCGGCCACACUGGAACUGAGACCCGGUCCAGACUCCUACGGGAGGCAGCAGUAGAGAAUCUUCCGCAAUGGGCGAAAGCCUGACGGAGCAACGCCGCGUGAGUGAUGAAGGUCUUCGGAUCGUAAAACUCUGUUAUUAGGGAAGAACAUAUGUGUAAGUAACUGUGCACAUCUUGACGGUACCUAAUCAGAAAGCCACGGCUAACUACGUG